UCCUUUUCUCUUUUUCAGUGUUUUUUUUUUGACAGCUUAUUAUUCCUAUUUUGCCUGAAUAUUCUCAAAAGCCUUGCUGCUUGUACAGACAUUUAAGAAAAGAAAGAUAAAUGUCCGUGUUCUUGCAUCUUUCUCAAUGUUCAAAAUUUCCAAAAUUUCCAAAAAGUCACAGUGCUGCUAUGAUCACAGUUGAACAAACCACAGAUAGACCAGACUGGCAGAAAGAAGUUAAGGCAUAGAAAGAUGCUAUAAUGCUUUGAAGAUGGGAACACCUGAUCAAGAAAUGAAGGCAGAAUAUUCAAAGAGACUAGAGGUAUGAGUGUAUUAAAAUGUCAGGAGAGGACAUUCAAUUUAUAAGAAGACAAAAGGUGACUUUUAAAGAGGUGAUUAAAUCACAUCCUGCUUGGAAAACUAUUGUAUAUUUUAUAUCCUUAUAAUAUACGCAUUUAAAAUAUAGUUUCAUCAACA
RNAcentral lists this long non-coding RNA (468 nucleotides) under Felis catus (domestic cat). Its description in RNAcentral is "lncRNA (ENSFCAG00000050380.1)". Lineage: Eukaryota; Metazoa; Chordata; Mammalia; Carnivora; Felidae. The record is from RNAcentral.